This 1798-nucleotide long non-coding RNA is filed under the name Olea europaea subsp. europaea. Lineage: Eukaryota; Viridiplantae; Streptophyta; Magnoliopsida; Lamiales; Oleaceae. The record is from RNAcentral.
GAGCCCAAAGCAAAAAACGUGUUCAGUGGCAUGGCAUUUUAGUUGCAGCCCACACGUGUUUUCUUCUAUUCACUAUGAAGCCAUGUGGACGGUUAGAUGAAACUUGAUCAACGGUUGAUGGUGGAAGUAUAAAUAUUAUCCCUUGGUUACCCUAUUCAAUCAUAUCGUCAUUUCUUGGUCAUUGGUGUGUGAUUUUUCAAGAUUCUUCUUCUUCCCACUUUUCUGUAUUCUUCCAAUCUCUAAUUGGAAGUGUUUUCUGUGUGAUUGUUUAUUAGUGAAAACAUAUACUUAGUGUAUUGAAAGGGUUGGUGUGAGUCUAUUACCCUUGUGGUUUCCUUUAAUCGAUAGAGGAAUGCUUUAGGGUUUUCUGGGUGGAUCUCGUGGUAUCACAGACGGGUACAGUCCUAGUUUUAUUGAGUCUGGAGCCCCAAAUGUAAUGAUCUUUACUUUGAUGCCUCAAUCUGAGUUUUCUUGAUAGGGUUAAAUAAAUUUCUGUUUUGGAACUUGAUUGUGCUAAGUAUUCUUGAGUAUUCUUGUAUAUUUGGUUCGAUGCUUGACAUAACAAUCCAAGUACUGGUUUCUAAAUGAUUUAGUUUCAUAUUAUGUGCCCAGAAUUUGCUAAACUCAACAUUCCAUGCGCAUUCUUCAGCGCAUUUAGUGCUGGUCCAACGUGGAAUAUUGGAAAAUAAACCAGAAGAUUUCAUUGUGAAACUCCCCUUAGAAACAUCCGACAGUUUCGCGAUGUAACUAUAGAUGGCGGAAAUGUUUCAGGCAUUUACCGGGUCGCUGCCAUAUAGUAGCUGUAAGAAGUUAUGAAUUUGAGUCUGAGUGGCUACAAAAUCUAGAGAGUAUUUUCAAAAAGCAUAAUAUUUCAGUCUGGUGAUUCUACGCGCAGCAUCAAAACUGGCUUGAAAUUAAGGAAUGGCUUGAGCUGUUUAUGUCUAAACCAAAUCAAGAUGAACCUGCUGAAGUUACAUUAGGUUUGGAGAAGUGGGAAUUUCCAUAUAUUGAGGUGCCACAACUCGAGGUAAUAAGUCAUGACUCGGUGGACUCUCGACCCAUUCAGGGCUCAGCUCUGUGGUAGAGGCAUUGCAAUUUGGGAAAUGGCUUAUCUUAUUGACUUUCAAGCCUUCCAGCCUUUUGAAGGAAAAGAAGAUAGGAAGUGACAUUAUCUACAAAAUCACAGCAAGACAUUCAAGUAUUCUAAUAGAAAUUUAACGAAAAUUUCAAGUUAACUAUGAAUUAGAAUUGUCAUUUUUCAAGCAUUACUUCGUUUGUACGUAACUGUUGAGAGAGAGAUAAUGAAAGACCGUGCAGAGAGGAGAUGAACAGAAGUCAAGCUUUUCAAGUGAGUCUAAUGAUGAGCUCUUUGUUUUAGCCUAGGAGAAUUCAUAUUAUCAUUUUAAGAUAUCCAAGCGUUAAAUGGAUAAGUACCCUUUUUUUUUCUUUUUUUUUUCUUUUUUUCUUUUUUGCUUAAUUUUUCACUUACAAGUUAAAAGGAAAAAGUAAGGGUCUUUCAAAAUCAAGAAACAACAGAUUUCAUUGAAAAGUAAUCGAUUCAAGCAUCUCAGCUUUCAAAAGUAUAUGCUUGUUUGCAUGUGCAUCUUCAUCCGCACCCAGAAAAGAGGCUCAAAGACCAGAGUUGCAUUUGCCUUUCUAUUUAUUGGUAGUAGUAAUCAUAUUAUACACAAAUAAUCUCACUCGAUGUCUUAAUGAUGUACAUAAAGGGAGGUAAAUGAACUAGGGUACCUAUUGAAUCCAAACAAGAUUGCAACCUUUUUGUCGAACGGGGUAUUGC